UUGCCAGACUCCUACGGGAGGCAGCAGUGAGGAAUAUUGGUCAAUGGGCGAGAGCCUGAGCCAGCCAAGUCGCGUGAGGGAAGGCGGUCCUAUGGAUUGUAAACCUCUUUUGCCGGGGAGCAAAAAGCGGUACGUGUACCGCAUCGAGAGUACCCGGAGAAAAAGCAUCGGCUAACUCCGUGCCAGCAGCCGCGGUAAUACGGAGGAUGCGAGCGUUAUCCGGAUUUAUUGGGUUUAAGGGGUGCGCAGGCGGCGGGUUAGGUCAGGGGAAAAUUUGGGGGCCUCACCCCCGGCGAGCCGUUGAAACUGGCUUGCUAGAGUGGGCGAGAAGUAUGCGGAAUGCGUGGUGUAGCGGUGAAAUGCAUAGAUAUCACGCAGAACUCCGAUUGCGAAGGCAGCAUACCGGCGCCCAACUGACGCUCAGGCACGAAAGCGUGGGUAUCGAACAGGAUUAGAUACCCUGGUA
Molecule: ribosomal RNA, 466 nt
Filed under: uncultured bacterium
Lineage: Bacteria
Description: bacterial SSU rRNA
Rfam family: Bacterial small subunit ribosomal RNA
Source: RNAcentral